AUGCUCGCGCUCCUGCUCUCCCCGCCGGCGGCGCCUCCGCCGUGCCUCGCGACGCUAAGGCGGCGGCCUCCCGCGCCCCGCACCUCCUCCGCCCCCGGCCGCGCGGUGCCCGCCCUCCGCGCCGCGGCCGUCCCCCGCCUCGCCGCCGCGGGGCCCGGUGCCGCCGAGCCGGAGCCCGCGCCGCUGUCCGCCGAGGAGGAGGCCAAGCUCGCCCAGGUUAGCAAGAGGCUAGAGAAAACAGCACGGUAUUUCAAGAAUUUGGGUACCCUGGCAUUCUGGUCUCAGUUGGUGUGCACAACCGUUUCGGCUGGGAUCUUGUCGUUCUCCGCAGUUGCUACCGGGAAUGCAACAUCUCCCUUCACAUUCUAUGCGACCGGGCUUGGCAUCGUUGCGGCCUUUGUGUCAGUGUUCCGGUCAUUUGGUUACAUCCGUCUUUCCAAAACGCUCAGGAGAACAGCAACCGAGCCUGCAAAGGCUCCUCCGCGUGCGGCUGUGGUUAAAAACCUGAGGAACAGUAUUGUACUCAGCGUUGUCGGGAUGGGCGCUGCGGUCCUCGGGAUGCAGGCGACUGUUGGUGCUUUGGUAGCAAAAGCUCUCACCACCUCCUCGGUGCCCUACUACCAGGGGAUAUCCGCUGGCCAGAGCCCAGUUCUUGCUCUGGAUGUUUUUCUUGUUCAGGCUUCAGCCAACACCAUCCUCUCGCAUUUUCUCGGGCUAUCGAGCUCGCUGGAGCUACUGCGGUCCGUGACAAUCUCUCCAGCGGAUGCCGGCCCCGUCCCUCGACCGGCAUGA
This 792-nucleotide ribosomal RNA is filed under the name Triticum aestivum (bread wheat). RNAcentral describes it as "partial small subunit ribosomal RNA". The record is from RNAcentral. Lineage: Eukaryota; Viridiplantae; Streptophyta; Magnoliopsida; Poales; Poaceae.